UCGAAUGAUUAGUCAUGUUCACACUUAGUUCCAUUUAUCUUCUAAUCUGGACUCUUGAUUAGAGAGAUUACUUCUUGACCCUUGAUCUUUAAGUCAUGUUCACACUUGAAUGGGAACUGGUUGCCUGCUUCACUUAAAUAUGAUCCGAUUUGAGUUCCAUUUGAAUCAUAUAAACCCAAACUCUCAAUUACCUAUAAAAUAGACUAGAGAGCAUCAAAAUUUUAAUAAAUAAAGAAUAAUUAAAUAGACUUAAGUGCCUCUAGUAACUAAAUUU
RNAcentral lists this long non-coding RNA (274 nucleotides) under Elaeis guineensis (African oil palm). Its description in RNAcentral is "long non-coding RNA (EGUI_LNC053944)". The record is from RNAcentral. Lineage: Eukaryota; Viridiplantae; Streptophyta; Magnoliopsida; Arecales; Arecaceae.